RNAcentral lists this ribosomal RNA (301 nucleotides) under uncultured bacterium. RNAcentral's name for it is "partial 16S ribosomal RNA". It matches the Rfam family "Bacterial small subunit ribosomal RNA", at positions 509 to 809 of the family's 1533-position model. The record is from RNAcentral.
CAGUAGCCGCGGGAAAACAGAGGGUGCGAGCGUUAAUCGGAUUUACUGGGCGUAAAGCGUGCGUAGGCGGCUUUUUAAGUCGGAUGUGAAAUCCCUGAGCUUAACUUAGGAAUUGCAUUCGAUACUGGGAAGCUAGAGUAUGGGAGAGGAUGGUAGAAUUCCAGGUGUAGCGGUGAAAUGCGUAGAGAUCUGGAGGAAUACCGAUGGCGAAGGCAGCCAUCUGGCCUAAUACUGACGCUGAGGUACGAAAGCAUGGGGAGCAAACAGGAUUAGAUACCCCUGUAGUCCCUGUCUCUUAUAA